UCAUUGAUGAUUACGGUUCAUUCUUCAUUUUCGAAGAAAUUGGGCCGAUGAUUCCACCAGACCAAAAUCCGCACCAUACAGUGAUUCGUGCUGGGUGCAUUGGCUUCUCGACGAUUACGUGCGGGUUUUCUGUGCCCCAAAUGCGACAAUUCUGCUUGUUAACGUAACCAUCGAGGUGGAAAUGAGCCUCGUCCGAAAAGAUGAUUUUUCGGUAAAAUUGACCAUCCUCGGUCAAACGAUCUUCUGCCCAAUCUGCGAACUGUAGAAUAGUGAAUAGCGACCCAUUUCGUAAAUUUUAGACUUUUUACUGAAUAUCUGUCACUUUCCGAAUGGUAUUUGACGUUUCCAAUGUCGAAAUAUAGAUAAUCCAAAUUUAAAACGUUAGAUGAU
This is a long non-coding RNA of Bactrocera dorsalis (oriental fruit fly), 390 nucleotides long. RefSeq lists it as uncharacterized. The transcript has 2 exons. Lineage: Eukaryota; Metazoa; Arthropoda; Insecta; Diptera; Tephritidae. The record is from RefSeq and is a predicted model, not a curated record.